AAAGGUAUAAUAAAAAGGACUUCUAAUCUAUUUUUCCCUAACGGGGUGCCUUUA
RNAcentral lists this transfer RNA (54 nucleotides) under Lardoglyphus konoi. Its description in RNAcentral is "tRNA-Ser". The record is from RNAcentral. Lineage: Eukaryota; Metazoa; Arthropoda; Arachnida; Sarcoptiformes; Lardoglyphidae.